This 83-nucleotide transfer RNA is filed under the name Candidatus Omnitrophota bacterium. RNAcentral describes it as "Candidatus Omnitrophica bacterium tRNA-Leu". It matches the Rfam family "tRNA". Rfam says of the family: Transfer RNA (tRNA) molecules are approximately 80 nucleotides in length. The record is from RNAcentral. Lineage: Bacteria; Pseudomonadati; Candidatus Omnitrophota.
GCCGGGGUGUCGGAAUGGCAGACGAUACGGACUUAAAAUCCGUUGUCCGUAAGGGCGUGAGGGUUCAACUCCCUCCCCCGGCA